This 3050-nucleotide ribosomal RNA is filed under the name Parcubacteria group bacterium GW2011_GWA1_45_7. Its description in RNAcentral is "bacterial LSU rRNA". It matches the Rfam family "Bacterial large subunit ribosomal RNA". The record is from RNAcentral. RNAcentral also lists the same sequence under 1 other name.
AAUAAGGGCAGGUGGUGGAUGCCUUGGGUCAGAAAAGCGAUGAAGGACGUGGCAUAGCUGCGAUAAUUCUCGGGGAGCUGCUAAGCAAGCUUUGAUCCGGGAGUGUCCGAAUGGGGCAACCCAUCACGCAAUUCAAUGUGUGAUGCUUCGACGUAACGUCGGAGCGCGUACCUCGGGAAGUAAAACAUUUCAAUACCGAGAGGAAAAGAAAACAACAGCAUACAUUUUUCUGGUAUGACUCAUGAACGUUGUGAGCCAUACCAGCAAGUGCAUGCUUCAUUCCCCCAGUAGCGGCGAGCGAACAGGGAACAGCCUAAACCGCACAGCAUCGCAAGGUGGUGUGUGGGGUCGCGGGGAUCUCGCGUUAAACGGAUUCGAAAAGAUAGCUGAAUGCUUUGGAAAGAGCAACCAUAGCGAGUGACAGUCUCGUAAGCGAAAUCCGACAAGAAUCUGUGCGGGAUUUCCCAAGUACUCUGGUGAAUGAAAACGCCGGAGGAAUCUGGCAGAACUAUACUGCUAAGGCUAAAUAUUUUCUGACACCGAUAGUGAACUAGUACCGUGAGGGAAAGGUGAAAAGCACCCCGGUGAGGGGAGUGAAAAAGAACCUGAAACCACUGUGCCUACAAGGAACGGGAGCUCAUACUCCGGCGUAAGUCGGAGGGGGUGACCGUGUGCCUAUUGAAGAAUGAGCCAACGAGUUUAUACACAUUUUCGUUUAAGUCUGCUCUGCAGACGAAGGCAAAGGGAAACCGAGUGUUAAUAGCGCGAUCCUCUUAUAUGUCUUAUGUGAUACGUUUGUGUCGCAUAAGAUCAUGUGAGGGAAGAGAGUGUGUAUAAGACCCGAAGCCAAGCGAGCUACUCUUGAGCAGGAUGAACCCUACAGAAAUGCGGGGGGAGGUCCGAACCGGUAAGCUGUGCAACACUUUCGGAUGACUUGAGAGUAGAAGUGAAAAGCUAAACGCGCUUGGUAAUAGCUGGUUCUCCUCGAAAUAGCUUUACGGCUAGCGCGUAACAAUUUUUGGAGAGGGGUAGAGCGACUGGUUUAAGCGUAUAGGGCGAAAGCUCGACGCCUAAGUCAAACUCCGAAUACUCUCCACAAUUCAUUACGCAGUCAGACUACGGGGGCUAAGCUUCGUGGUCAAAAGGGCAAGAACCCAGACUUUCAGUUAAGGUCCCUCAAUCUCGACUCAGUGUUAAAGGUGGUAAUCAACCUAAGACAGGUAGGAGGUUAGCUCAGAAGUAGCUAUCCUUUAAAGAGUGUGUAACAACUCACUACCAUACUCGGUUGGUUGCGCCGAAAACAUAGCGGGGCUAAGUCGAGUACCGAAACUAAAGUUCUCCGACGCAAGUCGGAGGAGGUAGAGGAGCAUUUCCUGUGCCGUGAAGUCUCAGCCGUGAGGCGGGAUGGAGCGCAGGGAAGAGAGAAUGUUGGCAUGAGUAACCUGCAAUGCCGGUGAAAUACUGGCAGGCCGGAAUCCCAAGGUUUCCUACUCAACGAUCAUCGGAGUAGGGUGAGGCGGUCCUAAGCUGAUGCCGAACGGCGGAAGUAAUGGACAGACGGUUAAUAUUCCGUCCCCUUGGUUUUGUGCGAUGGAGGGACGAAGGAAAUGAUCUCAGGCAUCUUAAUGGAUUGAUGUCUCUUGCGUGGAGAAUUGUUUUUCGGCAAAUCCGGAAGACUGUCUUCAAUGACGAAUUCAGGCGUAGGAGGGAAGUCAGCUUCGGCUGGUGAACCUGAGUGACGAGCUUUCCAAGAAAAACUUCUAAGCUUCAACAAAAUCGAGACCGUACCAAAACCGACACAGGUGGGAUGGGCGAGAAGCCUAAGGCCAACGAGUGAUUCGUUCUUAAGGAACUCGGCAAACAAGCUAGGCGUAAGUUAGCGAUAUGCCUUUCCGCCCUCGGGCGGACGCAGCGAAAGUUUCUCUGGCGACUGUUUACCAAAAACACAGCUCCCUGCGAACUCGUAAGAGGAUGUAUAGGGGGUGAGACCUGACCGAUGCACGAAGGUUAAAGCCGCCGCUGAUGGUAUCGCAAGAUACUUGAGGUGAGUGGUCGAAGCCCGUGUCAAUGUCGGCCUUAACUAUAAGGGUCCGAAGGUAGCGCAAUUCCUUGUCAGGUAAGUUCUGACGCGCACGAAAGGUUUAACGACUGGAGAACUGUCUCAAGAACGAGCUCGGUGAAAAUGCGAAUCCAGCGAAGACGCUGGGUACCUGCGGCAAGACGAAAAGACCCCGGGAGCUUUACUGGAGCCUGGUAUUGGUGUAUGGAUUACGCUGCGUAGCGUAGUGGGUAGGAUUUGAAGUCCCGAUUCUGGUCGGGAUGGAUCCGACAAUGCAACACCCAUCUGUGUGAUUUAUACAUCUAACCAAGUCGGCAAAAACGGCUAGGGACAGUGCUUGGCGGACAGUUUUCGUGGGGCGCGAUCCUCCUAAAAAGUAACGGAGGAGUCUAUUAAGGUCGGCUUAGGCAGGAUGGAAAUCUGCCCGAAAGUGUAAAGGCACAAGCCGGCUUAACUGCAAGGCUGACAUGCCGCGCAGGUGCGAAAGCAGAGCUUAGUGACCCGAUACGUCGUAAUAGAAGGCGUAGAGACACCGGAUAAAAGCUACCCCGGGGAUAACAGGCUGGUUUCGCCCGAGCGUCCACAGCGACGGCGAAGCUCGGCACCUCGAUGUCGGCUCAUCCUAGCGCGGGGCUGGAGAAGGUCCCAAGCGUUGGGCUGUACGCCCAUUAAAAGGAUACGUGAGCUGGGUUCAAACCGUCGUGAGACAGGUUGGUCUCUAUCUGCCGUAGGCGUUGGACACUUGAAGGGAGUUGACCCUAGUACGAGAGGACCGGGUUGAACGGACCGCUGGUGUACCGGCUUUCCUGCCAAGGGAACUGUCGGGUAGCUAUGUCCGGAAGGGAUAAGCACUGAAAGCAUCUAAGUACGAAGCCCACCCUAAGAUUAGGUGUCCCGUCCGCAAGGACUAAGAUCCCUGGAAGACUACCAGGUUGAUAGGCGCUAGGUGUAAGGCCCGUAAGGGUUUUAGCCAAGGCGUACUAAUAGAUCG